UGGGGAAUAUUGCACAAUGGGCGCAAGCCUGAUGCAGCCAUGCCGCGUGUGUGAAGAAGGCCUUCGGGUUGUAAAGCACUUUCAGCGAGGAGGAAGGUGGUGAGCUUAAUACGCUCAUCAAUUGACGUUACUCGCAGAAGAAGCACCGGCUAACUCCGUGCCAGCAGCCGCGGUAAUACGGAGGGUGCAAGCGUUAAUCGGAAUUACUGGGCGUAAAGCGCACGCAGGCGGUUUGUUAAGUCAGAUGUGAAAUCCCCGGGCUCAACCUGGGAACUGCAUUUGAAACUGGCAAGCUAGAGUCUCGUAGAGGGGGGUAGAAUUCCAGGUGUAGCGGUGAAAUGCGUAGAGAUCUGGAGGAAUACCGGUGGCGAAGGCGGCCCCCUGGACGAAGACUGACGCUCAGGUGCGAAAGCGUGGGGCAGCAAACAGGAUUAGAUACCCUGGUAGUCCAGCGCUGUAAACGAUGUCGAUUUUGGAGGUUGUGCCCUUGAGGCGUGGCUUCCGGAGCUAACGCGUUAAAUCGACCGCCUGGGGAGUACGGCCGCAAGGUUAAAACUCAAAGGAAUUGACGGGGUC
RNAcentral lists this ribosomal RNA (576 nucleotides) under uncultured bacterium. Its description in RNAcentral is "partial 16S ribosomal RNA". It matches the Rfam family "Bacterial small subunit ribosomal RNA", at positions 355 to 920 of the family's 1533-position model. The record is from RNAcentral.